This 73-nucleotide transfer RNA is filed under the name Bacillota bacterium. RNAcentral's name for it is "tRNA-Arg". It matches the Rfam family "tRNA". From Rfam's summary of the family: Transfer RNA (tRNA) molecules are approximately 80 nucleotides in length. RNAcentral also lists the same sequence under 1 other name. Lineage: Bacteria; Bacillati; Bacillota. The record is from RNAcentral.
GUCCACGUAGCUCAACGGGAUAGAGCAGUCCUCUCCUAAAGGACCGAUAGGGGUUCGAGUCCCUUCGUGGACG